RNAcentral lists this ribosomal RNA (688 nucleotides) under unidentified microorganism. RNAcentral describes it as "bacterial SSU rRNA". It matches the Rfam family "Bacterial small subunit ribosomal RNA", at positions 53 to 719 of the family's 1533-position model. The record is from RNAcentral.
ACAUGCAAGUCGAGCGGACUUNGAUCGGAGUGCUUGCANUCCUGAGAGUUAGCGGCGGACGGGUGAGUAACACGUAGGCAACCUGCCCUCGAGACUGGGAUAACUACCGGAAACGGUAGCUAAUACCGGAUAAUUUAUUUCNCAGCAUUGUGGAAUAAUGAAAGACGGAGCAAUCUGUCACUUGGGGAUGGGCCUGCGGCGCAUUAGCUAGUUGGUGGGGUAAUGGCUCACCAAGGCGACGAUGCGUAGCCGACCUGAGAGGGUGAACGGCCACACUGGGACUGAGACACGGCCCAGACUCCUACGGGAGGCAGCAGUAGGGAAUCUUCCGCAAUGGGCGAAAGCCUGACGGAGCAACGCCGCGUGAGUGAUGAAGGUUUUCGGAUCGUAAAGCUCUGUUGCCAAGGAAGAACGUCUUCUAGAGUAACUGCUAGGAGAGUGACGGUACUUGAGAAGAAAGCCCCGGCUAACUACGUGCCAGCAGCCGCGGUAAUACGUAGGGGGCAAGCGUUGUCCGGAAUUAUUGGGCGUAAAGCGCGCGCAGGCGGUUCUUUAAGUCUGGUGUUUAAACCCGAGGCUCAACUUCGGGUCGCACUGGAAACUGGGGGACUUGAGUGCAGAAGAGGAGAGUGGAAUUCCACGUGUAGCGGUGAAAUGCGUAGAUAUGUGGAGGAACACCAGUGGCGAA